This is a non-coding RNA of Acanthosepion pharaonis, 110 nucleotides long. The record is from the annotation of a GenBank genome assembly. NCBI's taxonomy places the organism in Eukaryota, Metazoa, Mollusca, Cephalopoda, Sepiida, Sepiidae.
GACCAUAUCACAUUGAAACAUUGGUUCUUGUACAAUCACUGAAGUUAAGCAACAUUGAACAUGGUCAGUACCUAGUUGGGUGACCACUUGGGAAUAUCAGGUGCUGUAAG